Non-coding RNA from Pelobates cultripes (western spadefoot toad), 127 nucleotides. The record is from the annotation of a GenBank genome assembly. NCBI's taxonomy places the organism in Eukaryota, Metazoa, Chordata, Amphibia, Anura, Pelobatidae.
ACUAGUCACACCCUCCCUCUCUCUGUCACUAGUCACCCCCUCCCUCUCUCUGUCACUAGAGUGAGGGGGUGACUAUUGACAGAGUGAGGGGGUGACUAUUGACAGAGUGAGGGGGGUGACUAGUGAC